AAGACUUCACCUCCAGUGUCUAUCUCUUUCAAUUUCCAUCUUCCAAAUUUCUUCUUAACAGAAAGAGAGUACUGGCAAUAUAGCAGAAAUGGCUGAAGAGGCUACAGUUAUGAAAGAGUUCUGCAUAUAGGAAUGUGUGUGUCAAGAGAGUUACUUUGGGAGCUUCCAGAUCCAAAGAAGAGCUGACCCUGUACCACUACAUAGCCACGUGGGCUGCACAUGGGCAACCUUCCACCUCGAGUUGGCCUUAUUGGUUCUAUCAUCUGUAGAACUUCCCUGCUUAUUGAAUACUGCAAUUUUAUCAUCUGGUUCUUAUCUAUUCAUUCUCUAUCACACUAAGUCUCUUGGGGGUGAGGAACAGUUCUAGUCAUAAUGUUAUUUGCCCACUACCACCAUCCUGGUGUCAGUGUUAAAUAGAAAUGAAUGUCCUAACUUCCUGGGAAAGCCCCAGGCUUUUGGGAGGGGAGGGGAUGAAAAGUGGCUACAUUUGAAAGUCAUUCCUCUCCCUAUUAGUUAUUGCUAAUUAAAUAAAAUUACUGUUAUAAAUU
Long non-coding RNA from Marmota flaviventris (yellow-bellied marmot), 548 nucleotides. RefSeq lists it as uncharacterized. Lineage: Eukaryota; Metazoa; Chordata; Mammalia; Rodentia; Sciuridae. The record is from RefSeq and is a predicted model, not a curated record.